This is a non-coding RNA of Physcomitrium patens, 3895 nucleotides long. Lineage: Eukaryota; Viridiplantae; Streptophyta; Bryopsida; Funariales; Funariaceae. The record is from RefSeq and is a predicted model, not a curated record.
UGAACUUUGACAUAAUUAAUCCCGGGGUAAUUGAUACGAUUAGCAGUCUAGGAUCAUGAAUGUUAACUCUGAAAAUAGAAUUGCUUGCAGACUGUAGAUUCUCGACCUAAUUAGAGUCGUGAGCGUGGUGGACUUGGGAUUAUGCAUGUGGGUUCUUGCAAGUUUGCUCUCAGCCGAAGAUUUGGCUGCAGUGUUGCAAGGGUAGGGGAGUCAGAGCAAUAAUGCCGUGAUCGGAAGGACGAGUGCUGUGUGUCGGUGAAUGCAUCAAGUUCGUAAUAGAAGUUUGCUGCGAGUUAUCUCGUCAUAGACGAUAGAGAAGAAUGGUGUCAUUUCUUAAACUCAUGCUCAAAUCGAAAAUAUCAUCUGCAGCGCUUUUGGUGGAUGGAAUCCGGAGGCGCACGCUGAAGCAAUGAGUUGCUUGGCUUUUAUAUGACGUGCACUUGUAACGAAUCGAUCAAGAGAUACUUAGAUAGUCACUCAUUGGAGAUUUUAGGUAUUGGCUUGUUUACCACCAACAGAGAGUUUUAUCUUUGGCGAUGAAGUCCUAAUUUUACUGGGUGCUGAAUGCAUGUAAAGCUCCCACCAGAUUUAAGAUUUUAUCGAUGCAAAUGUUGUUUAAUGGAUAGAGAUAAUCACUCGCUAGAAUGUAAGAGUGGAACUACAUUCUACACGAAAAUCCCGGAUCAAUUGCUGGAGCUCUGACAUCUUUUUUAUGCAAGUAGUUCUCUCUUAUGAUAGUUAGCUACUUUGCAACAACUUUCCAUCUAAUAGAUGCGUCCUUGUAACAUUUAUUUGUUCUUUUGCUAGAAGUGUUGGUACUUGGGAAAGGAAUCUUCUGCCUGGUCAAUCCAGCUCACAAAAGUUGAGAGAAACCAUCCCUGAAGAUUAGGUUUUAGGGUCCAGUUUAUUUUUGGUGAUGAAGUUUGUGGGUGUUUACGAAAGUGAAGGAUCCGGUUAACUAGUCGGAAUUGGUUUCUCAUUAUACAGAAUUGCAUUUGCUUAUCAUCAUCAUCUCGCCGUUUUGAGUGUACAAGGAGGCUUAACUGAUAGGAAGAAUUGGGUGCUUUCGAUGCUGGUCGUCCCGGCAGGUGCUGACAAGAGCACGGCUUGUCAGGAAAUCAUAGAAAAUGUAGCAUGGCCGUGGACUCGUAUAUGUCAGAUUUGGUUCUCUUUUGUUGAAGCAGUUCCUUUUAGCAACCAAAACUUUGUAUGAACUUCAUUAUCCUUGAUUGAGCACAUAAGUUAUGUUGCAGAUUGUCGAGACGCAAGAAGGAUACAAUAUGCAGUAUGAAUCAUCUCUUUUGCAAGGAACUGAGCAAUUUAGAGAAUUAAUUCAUGUUAUAAAGUUCUAACUAAAGUUCCUGGCGUGCAUGUAUCUUCACGCAGAUGUAGAGACCUCGAAUAUCAUCUAUUGAAUGACUGAAGCGUUGUAGGAUUGAAGAAAUGUGGCUUGAGUUUUGUUGGCAGGGAAGGAAGGACUACUUUGAGCCCUUGGGAUGUUGAGCUCUACCUCAAGAAAAGUGAUGUAGAUAGAAUAGCUUUUGUUGAAGCAUAGUGAUGUAGAUAGAAUAGCUGGACCAGGGAUCAGCAAUUGCGGAUUAUUGCAUUACGUCCAGAGUAACAUGCAAUGGUAACUGCUGAUAACUUUGCAAUGAUACGGGCUAUUUAUUCUAUGUUCACUUUGAACCUUAAUGUUUGUGGGUUGGUGGUAUCUUCAAAUCUCGUAUUGACAAUUCUGUCGUUGCAGAAGUGAUUAGAAAUAUCUGCUCCACUGACCAGCUAAGCCCGGUGUCAGAAUGUUAUGGAAUUAAAGGGGGAGGGGAGAGCACUGUCGGUGGUUGCAGUAAUGUUUGAUUUGCUGUAGAUUUUGAGUCAAUAAUUACAUCAUUACGUAGAUUCGCAUCUAUUGGUGAGCAUCGAUGAUGUAGUACGAGAUGGUGCAUAAAUGUUGGAGCAAUAGUAACGUGACAGAACAAGCAGCAGUUGCUAACAAAGCAACAAGAGAUGGAUUGGACUUAAUUGUACACGAUGGCAUCCAGCAUCUUUUCAGUACUACAACUCAUGCAUUCUCCGGGUCAGACUUGAUCAAGGCGGUAUAUUAUCGACUGCUGCACUAUUAUAUCUUGUCUUGGACACCACACCUGAAGUGGAGUUGAGGCGAGUCCUUCCACGUCCAUCUCAGGUAGAUGCAAAGGUAACGAAUGAGGAGCUGCGCUGUCUUCGGUGUUGGAGCGCACAGCCUAGUCUGCCUCGACUGAAGACUCAAUUCGCAAGCGGCAAGACUCUAUUGUAGCGCCUUUACCUCACCUCUUCUGCCCAUGCACAAUCGUGACCCUCGUUGCAGAUCUUGGACAGAUCUUAUCGUGUAAAUUCUUAAUAGCUGACUCUUAUUAUUACAGGCUUUGAUGAACUCUCUUUAUUGGUGAUGUGAUUGAUGCAGUGACUACAACUCUUCAUUGCUUGAGAUGACUUUUUCUGUGAUACUAAAUAUUGCUAGUGUCAUGUCACAGUCGAUGAUCAGUAUAAAAUUCAUGAUAACGGUUCAUAAGGUACCUCCAGCAUCAACGUGCAACACAAGGACUGUUCGGAAAGGUGCAACAUUUUUGCAGCGUAUGAAAUGGUCAGCUUGUGAAUAUAACGGCUCACAAGACUUUGCUAACGUUGUCUUUUCUGCUAGCUCAGAUUCCCAGCGAUGGUUUGCUACUGGUGGCUGACCCUCAAAAACGAAACAGUUGUUGGUGAUAAAUCGCAUAACAUUAAGUGCUCGACACUGCUCCUGCUCCAGUCACUGUUCAUCUACUUUCUAUCCAAUAAUGCGAAAUCAAAACAUCUGACGAAACAUAUCCUGCUUGGGACGGUAUUUGUUCAUGCUUUCUCCAAAUGUUAUGCAGCCACUGAUCCAGAACGCUGCACAUUUAUUUCUCUCUAUUCAAAGCUCUUUCGGAAUAGAGCGUUGGCAGGAUCAUCACAGCUAUGGCUUUGCGGGCCUUUAAGUCACCUUUCGUGAAAUAAGGAACCGAUGACGAGUUUCAUGUCGAAGCAUAAAGGCCUUGAUCCUCUGUCAUUUGUGCCUCGGUCCUGUGAAAUUUACAUGCUUUGUCCAUUCAGCAGAAAUUUAUGAAGAGAGGCUGACCUUUAAGGUGGAAGAACAAGCACGUGAACAUGUCCUGUCGUUUGCUUUUAGGUUCAAGUACCAAAUUUUCUUUUCUACUGUGACAAAUGCUUCCACAUUGACUUCAUGAACGUCUUUCAACAAUCCACAAACAGAUCAAAUGUUGAUGAACAAUAUGAGGAGCCUCGAGUUUCUACAGUAUGACUACAUGGAGCCAACAGAUGGAAGCCUUCUACUGCAAUGGAUGUGAGUAAUCUCUCUGAAUACAAUUUGAAUUUACUAUCAUGUAAACAGACUUUCCCUGUGCAUUAUUUGCAAAUAUCUUUCAUGCUUUUGCAUUUAGGGGCGUUGGCCAUCUGCUGCCUCGUUAACUCUUCAAUGAAAAGACUCGCAUAUUUUCCAACCAAUGUAAGGCUCACUCAAAACUGGAUAGAAUCGCUCUUUUUCUUGUAUCGGAAGUCAAUAUCCAUUCUUGAUCAGUAUUCACAAGACAAUUUUUACAUUUUUUUUUUCAAAAACAAGCUCUUAUAUGAUUACGUAUAUACAGAUGUUGAGGGUUCAGGUUUAUGUUUCCAUUAUCUCUGUACUUUAGGCUUUGUUCUCUUCCAAUGAAUGAGUGGUGGUACCUGUGCGGCUUUUCAAAAAAAUGUUAUAGUAUAUUUUAAUAUUCUAGUGUUGUGGUGUAGACUCCAUGAUGUUAAUUACAAAGUGGAAUUAGAUCCAUCUUUGUUCAAUGGGAUUCAUAUUCUAACAGUGUUUGAUUCCAACCUCCGAAGGGAGGCA